CUGAAAUGCCUAGAUGGAUGCAAGCAUCCCAUAAACAUCAAAAGGUUUGGUCCUGGCCUUAUAAUUAGUUGGAGGCAGAAUUACACAUGCAAAUUUCCAUAAACCAGUGUCAAAUCCCAUAGAGUUUCUUCUAACUCUUAGGAGAGGGUAUCAAGUACAUUCAAUAGCUAAAGACACCUUGCCCAGCCACGCCCCCACGGGACCCAGCAGUGAUAAAAAUUAAGCAAUGAACGAAAGUUUGACUAAGCCAUGCCUCUUUAAGGGUUGGUAAAUUUCGUGCCAGCCACCGCGGUCAUACGAUUAACCCAAACUAAUUAUUCUCGGCGUAAAACGUGUUACUAGAAACAUACAAAAUAGAAUUAAAAUCCAUCCAAUAUGUGAAAAUUCAUCGCUGGACCUAAAACCAAUGACGAAAGUAAUUCUAAUAAACCUGAUACACGAUAGCUAAGAUCCAAACUGGGAUUAGAUACCCCACUAUGCUUAGCCCUAAACUUAAAUAAUUAAAAAACAAAAUUAUUUGCCUGAGAACUACUGGCCACAGCUUAAAACUCAAAGGACUUGGCGGUACUUUAUAUCCAUCUAGAGGAGCCUGUUCUAUAAUCGAUAAACCCCGUUAUACCUCACCACCCCUUGCUAAUACAGCCUAUAUACCGCCAUCUUCAGCAAACCCUAAAAAGGAAUAAAAGUAAGCAAGAGAACUACCAUAAAAACGUUAGGUCAAGGUGUAGCCAAUGGGAUGGGAAGCAAUGGGCUACAUUUUCUUAUAAAGAACAUUACGCUACCCUUUAUGAAACUAAAGGACAAAGGAGGAUUUAGUAGUAAAUUAAGAAUAGAGAGCUUAGUUGAAUCGAGCAAUGAAGUACGUACACACCGCCCGUCACCCUCCUCAAACUAAAUAAACGAGAACUAUACAUAAUUACAUCAAAUUUUUACGAGAGGAGAUAAGUCGUAACAAGGUAAGCAUACUGGAAAGUGUGCUUGGAAUAACCACGAUGUAGCUUAAUUAACAAGCAUCUGG
This 1018-nucleotide non-coding RNA is filed under the name Microtus multiplex. Its description in RNAcentral is "partial 12S ribosomal RNA". It matches the Rfam family "Bacterial small subunit ribosomal RNA". Lineage: Eukaryota; Metazoa; Chordata; Mammalia; Rodentia; Cricetidae. The record is from RNAcentral.